RNAcentral lists this microRNA precursor (74 nucleotides) under Dasypus novemcinctus (nine-banded armadillo). RNAcentral describes it as "miRNA (ENSDNOG00000031075.1)". The record is from RNAcentral. Lineage: Eukaryota; Metazoa; Chordata; Mammalia; Cingulata; Dasypodidae.
CUGGGCAUCUCGGUAAAAUGCAGGUCUGGAGUGGGGCCCUGGAUUCUGCAUUUCUAGCAAGCUCCCAGGUGAUG